RNAcentral lists this ribosomal RNA (1008 nucleotides) under human gut metagenome. RNAcentral's name for it is "bacterial LSU rRNA". It matches the Rfam family "Bacterial large subunit ribosomal RNA", at positions 1923 to 2925 of the family's 2925-position model. The record is from RNAcentral.
GUAAACGGCGGCCGUAACUAUAACGGUCCUAAGGUAGCGAAAUUCCUUGUCGGGUAAGUUCCGACCUGCACGAAUGGCGUAAUGAUGGCCAGGCUGUCUCCACCCGAGACUCAGUGAAAUUGAACUCGCUGUGAAGAUGCAGUGUACCCGCGGCAAGACGGAAAGACCCCGUGAACCUUUACUAUAGCUUGACACUGAACACUGGUCCUUGAUGUGUAGGAUAGGUGGGAGGCUUUGAAGUGUGGACGCCAGUCUGCAUGGAGCCAUCCUUGAAAUACCACCCUUUAAUGGCUGGUGUUCUAACGUGGGCCCGUGAUCCGGGUUGCGGACAGUGUCUGGUGGGUAGUUUGACUGGGGCGGUCUCCUCCUAAAGAGUAACGGAGGAGCACGAAGGUCAGCUAAUCCUGGUCGGACAUCAGGAGGUUAGUGCAAUGGCAUAAGCUGGCUUGACUGCGAGCGUGACGGCGCGAGCAGGUGCGAAAGCAGGUCAUAGUGAUCCGGUGGUUCUGAAUGGAAGGGCCAUCGCUCAACGGAUAAAAGGUACUCCGGGGAUAACAGGCUGAUACCGCCCAAGAGUUCAUAUCGACGGCGGUGUUUGGCACCUCGAUGUCGGCUCAUCACAUCCUGGGGCUGAAGUAGGUCCCAAGGGUAUGGCUGUUCGCCAUUUAAAGUGGUACGCGAGCUGGGUUUAGAACGUCGUGAGACAGUUCGGUCCCUAUCUGCCGUGGGCGCUGGAGAAUUGAGGGGGGCUGCUCCUAGUACGAGAGGACCGGAGUGGACGCAUCACUGGUGUUCGGGUUGUCAUGCCAAUGGCAUUGCCCGGUAGCUAAAUGCGGAAGAGAUAAGUGCUGAAAGCAUCUAAGCACGAAACUUGCCCCGAGAUGAGUUCUCCCUGACUCCUUGAGAGUCCUGAAGGAACGUUGAAGACGACGACGUUGAUAGGCCGGGUGUGUAAGCGCAGCGAUGCGUUGAGCUAACCGGUACUAAUGAACCGUGAGGCUUAACCUU